UACGUAGGGGGCGAGCGUUGUCCGGAGUUAUUGGGCGUAAAGAGCUCGUAGGCGGUUUGUCGCGUCUGCCGUGAAAGUCCGGGGCUCAACUCCGGAUCUGCGGUGGGUACGGGCAGACUAGAGUGAUGUAGGGGAGACUGGAAUUCCUGGUGUAGCGGUGAAAUGCGCAGAUAUCAGGAGGAACACCGAUGGCGAAGGCAGGUCUCUGGGCAUUAACUGACGCUGAGGAGCGAAAGCAUGGGGAGCGAACAGG
Molecule: ribosomal RNA, 253 nt
Filed under: uncultured bacterium
Lineage: Bacteria
Description: partial 16S ribosomal RNA
Rfam family: Bacterial small subunit ribosomal RNA
Source: RNAcentral